GUACACACCGCCCGUCAAGCCACGAAAGUCGGUAGUACCCGAAGUCGCUAUCCUAACCCUCGGGAGGGAAGCGCCUAAGGUAAGGCUGGCGAUUGGGGCUAAGUCGUAACAAGGUAGCCGUACCGGAAGGUGCGGCUGGAUCACCUCCUUU
This 151-nucleotide ribosomal RNA is filed under the name Dehalococcoidia bacterium. Its description in RNAcentral is "partial 16S ribosomal RNA". It matches the Rfam family "Bacterial small subunit ribosomal RNA", at positions 1383 to 1533 of the family's 1533-position model. The record is from RNAcentral. Lineage: Bacteria; Bacillati; Chloroflexota; Dehalococcoidia.